Molecule: ribosomal RNA, 279 nt
Filed under: uncultured bacterium
Lineage: Bacteria
Description: partial 16S ribosomal RNA
Rfam family: Bacterial small subunit ribosomal RNA
Source: RNAcentral
UGCCAGCAGCCGCGGUAAUACGGAGGGUGCGAGCGUAGUUCGGAAUUACUGGGCUUAAAGAGCUCGUAGGUGGUUAAAAAAGUUGAUGGUGAAAUCCCAAGGCUCAACCUUGGAACAGCCAUCAAAACUUUUUAGCUAGAGUAUGAUAGAGGAAAGUGGAAUUUCUAGUGUAGAGGUGAAAUUCGUAGAUAUUAGAAAGAACACCAAAUGCGAAGGCAACUUUCUGGAUCAUUACUGACACUGAGGAGCGAAAGCAUGGGUAGCGAAGAGGAUUAGAUA